RNAcentral lists this ribosomal RNA (465 nucleotides) under uncultured bacterium. Its description in RNAcentral is "partial 16S ribosomal RNA". It matches the Rfam family "Bacterial small subunit ribosomal RNA", at positions 28 to 507 of the family's 1533-position model. The record is from RNAcentral.
GACGAACGCUGGCGGCGUGCUUAACACAUGCAAGUCGAACGGAAAGGCCCUGCUUGCAGGGUACUCGAGUGGCGAACGGGUGAGUAACACGUGGGUGAUCUGCCCUGCACUUCGGGAUAAGCCUGGGAAACUGUGUCUAAUACCGGAUAGGAGCCAUUUUUAGUGUGAUGGUUGGAAAGUUUUUUCGGUGUGGGAUGAGCUCGCGGCCUAUCAGCUUGUUGGUGGGGUAAUGGCCUACCAAGGCGGCGACGGGUAGCCGGCCUGAGAGGGUGGACGGCCACAUUGGGACUGAGAUACGGCCCAGACUCCUACGGGAGGCAGCAGUGGGGAAUAUUGCAAAAUGGGCGCAAGCCUGAUGCAGCGACGCCGCGUGGGGGAUGACGGCCUUCGGGUUGUAAACUCCUUUCGCUAGGGACGAAGCUUUUUGUGACGGUACCUAGAUAAGAAGCACCGGCUAACUACGUG